Molecule: ribosomal RNA, 449 nt
Filed under: uncultured bacterium
Lineage: Bacteria
Description: partial 16S ribosomal RNA
Rfam family: Bacterial small subunit ribosomal RNA
Source: RNAcentral
AACGAACGCUGGCGGCAUGCCUAACAUAUGCAAGUCGAACGAGACCUUCGGGUCUAGUGGCGCACGGGUGCGUAACGCGUGGGAAUCUGCCCUUUGGUUCGGAAUAACAGUUGGAAACGACUGCUAAUACCGGAUGAUGACGAAAGUCCAAAGAUUUAUCGCCAGAGGAUGAGCCCGCGUAGGAUUAGCUAGUUGGUGUGGUAAAGGCGCACCAAGGCGACGAUCCUUAGCUGGUCUGAGAGGAUGAUCAGCCACACUGGGACUGAGACACGGCCCAGACUCCUACGGGAGGCAGCAGUGGGGAAUAUUGGACAAUGGGCGAAAGCCUGAUCCAGCAAUGCCGCGUGAGUGAUGAAGGCCUUAGGGUUGUAAAGCUCUUUUACCCGGGAUGAUAAUGACAGUACCGGGAGAAUAAGCUCCGGCUAACUCCGUGCCAGCCGCCGCAGUAA